UACGGAGGGUGCGAGCGUUAAUCGGAAUCACUGGGCUUAUAGGGUGCGCAGGCGGACUCGCAAGCAUCCCGUGAAAUCCCACCGCUCAACGGUGGAAUCGCGGGGUGGUCUGCGUGUCUUGAGCCCGACAGGGGUCGUCAGAACGCUAGGUGGAGCGGUGAAAUGCGUAGAUAUCUAGCGGAAUGCCAAAGGUGAAGACAGACGACUGGGUCGGCGCUGACGCUCAGGCACGAAAGCGUGGGGAGCGAACGGG
Molecule: unclassified non-coding RNA, 253 nt
Filed under: uncultured Phycisphaeraceae bacterium
Lineage: Bacteria; Pseudomonadati; Planctomycetota; Phycisphaerae; Phycisphaerales; Phycisphaeraceae
Description: contains 16S-23S intergenic spacer region
Rfam family: Bacterial small subunit ribosomal RNA
Source: RNAcentral